RNAcentral lists this ribosomal RNA (445 nucleotides) under uncultured bacterium. Its description in RNAcentral is "bacterial SSU rRNA". It matches the Rfam family "Bacterial small subunit ribosomal RNA", at positions 330 to 792 of the family's 1533-position model. The record is from RNAcentral.
GCCAGACUCCUACGGGAGGCAGCAGUGGGGAAUAUUGCACAAUGGGGGGAACCCUGAUGCAGCGACGCCGCGUGAGCGAAGAAGUAUUUCGGUAUGUAAAGCUCUAUCAGCAGGGAAGAAAAUGACGGUACCUGACUAAGAAGCCCCGGCUAACUACGUGCCAGCAGCCGCGGUAAUACGUAGGGGGCAAGCGUUAUCCGGAUUUACUGGGUGUAAAGGGAGCGCAGGCGGCGCGGUAAGUCUGAUGUGAAAGCCCGGGGCUCAACCCCGGGACUGCAUUGGAAACUGUCGUGCUGGAGUGUCGGAGGGGCAAGUGGAAUUCCUAGUGUAGCGGUGAAAUGCGUAGAUAUUAGGAGGAACACCAGUGGCGAAGGCGGCUUACUGGACUGUAACUGACGUUGAGGCUCGAAAGCGUGGGGAGCAAACAGGAUUAGAUACCCUUGUA